UCCCCUAAAAACACUAAAAUAUUAAAAAAGGUGGGGUAUGAAGCUCACCUUGGUUUGUUCGCUGGGUGAUUUGAAGAGUGAUGAGGAAGUUGUUGGAAUAGUGUCUAAGGCUGCAACUAUAUUAGGCAAGUAUUUGACCCGAUUGUGCAUGGUCCUUUUGGGUUGCCUUCACCAUAGCAACUUGAUAGGAUGAUUUAUUAUGAGAGAGUAAAUAUUAUUAAUAUAUUAUGAGAAUAAUAUAAGGAAUAAUAAUAUUGUUAUUUGAUUAAUAUAAGUCAUAAAUUAAUUAGUAUUAAUUUGGUGACUUAAAGAGAUUAAUUAAAUAAGAGGGUAUAAACUGUCAAUUGUUUGAUAGUUACACUUUAGACUGUAAAUCCUUAUUGGAUGAAGGGUGGACGGAUUCUAGGGCUAGGGAUAGCCUCAAAUCGUCCAAUGCUUAUCUAAGGAAAGGAUUUGGAUUGCUUUAAGGAAAGAUUAUCCAACUAGGGUUUAAGGUGAAACCCUUAAGGAGUCUACAAGUAUAAAUAGACCCCAUGGCCAAGGGAAAUCGGCAUCUCAUCUAAAGUAGAGAACCCCUGGCCGAUUUCCUCCUAACCUCUCUCUCAAAUCAUCUUCUUUGCUAUUUGGUGUUUGUAAGCCAUUAGAGGAGUGACAAUUGUGACUCUAGAGCUCCAAGACAACAAGAUCAAACAAGAGAUUCAAAGGUAAACUUCUAGAUCUGAUUUUGUAUUGUUCUUAUACCUAAUUAGUUAUUAGAAGUCUUGGAUUCAAAGCAUGUUUAAUUAGAAAGCCUAGAUCCAAGCAUUAGGGUUUUGCAUGCGCACAUAGGAAAGUUCUUAUGGCUAAAACCCAUCAGUGGUAUCAGAGCCUAGAUUGGUUUCUAUUAAAUUGAUGCUUGUUUGUUUGAAUCUUGUUUGCAAAAUUCGUAUUUUGUGUUUCUGUAUCAUGAACUCGCUGAGUCCCAUGGUGGACUCGACGAGUUGGCCUGACUCGACGAGUCCAGUUGGGAACUCGACGAGUCCAAGCGUGAGGAAAGGCCAGAUUCAGGAUUUUUUGAUAAUUAUCUUAUGAAAACUUACCUUAAUCAUAUUUGAUCAACCCUAAUCCGAUUUUUUGAUAUACAUGACUAUAAUCUUGAUCUAAUUAAGGAUAUUUAUCAACUAAUAAAAUAUUUAAUUUCCUUAUAUGAUAAUUAAUUAAUUAUUUUGAUAAAAUUGGUAAUUAUCUUGCAAGAAAUAAUUAAAUAAAUCAAAUAUGGAUAAUUAUGGAAUUAAUUGUUAAUUGAGAUUAUUUGUUAUUUGAUCCUCCAUGUUUUAAAUGUUUAAAACUUGUCCUCAAGUUUUGAAAUUUAUGUUUUGUGAUUAAAAGUUUUAAUUUAGACAAUUUAAAUUUCAAACCCUAGAUUUUUAAAAGUUUAAAAUACAACCCUAUACUAAUAUAAUAUUACAAGAUUAAUAUAUAUAUAUAUAUAUAUAUAUAUGCAUAACUAAAAUGCUAGUCUUACCGUUAGUAGGCCUCAUUCAUGAAGCCGAUCUAUAAGGUGGGUAUAAGGUUGCGGCCUAUAAAAUGGCGCUUAAUGGGUGUACACUCACACCCACCGCCUGCUUGAUCGGUGGAGGGUGGUUAGCCGAACGGGUAGGAUAGGGCAACCUCAUCCUCUCAUUAAAAGUAUAAUAGGAAAUACAAAGUAACUACACAUUUUUUAAAAAUUCCCAAUCUUAGUUACUUUAGGAAAAGUGAAUUGAUGCAAUCCCAUGAAAUUACACUUUGCACCCUUGCUAAGAAGUUAGUGGAGCGUGUGUGGUUUACCGGCACACUAAUUGGUUCUAAGCAAAGGUGGCAAAGGGUGAUUCAUUGUUUAUCAUAGUUCGAUGGAGCGUGUGUGGUUUACCAGCACAUCGAAUAGGUGAUCGUUACAAUGAAGGCACCAUGUGAAUUUGCAUGGUAAUUCACACCCGCUUUGUGAUCCUCGGUAUCCCAGUCACAAACAAGAGGGGCAUAUCGAGAUUUAAACAUGCCAUUGAAUAGUUUCAAUGAAUCUCAUCCGAACCUAGGAAUUCUCAAUACAUUUAGGACUUAAAGUUAUGUUUUUAUGGUGGAGAAUUAGUGAAUCGUCAUUCACUUACCUUCAAAUUGUUUGCAUGUUAGAUUACGGCAUCCCUUUUCUAAUAUGUAAAUAUUGUUGUUGGAUCCUAGCCCUAAUUUUUCUUAUUGGGUGAUAAUUAGGGAUUCAUAUUCUAAUCUAUCUUUGUCCUUUCUAUUUGUAGAUGUCGAACGCAAACAACGCUGCUGCUAGUUCUUUCACAUUGAUGAGCCUUUGUCAAAAGGUCACUUUCGAUGGGACGAACUUUAGCGAAUGGAUAAGAUACAUUCGCACCAUUGCUCGCUAUGAGGAUAAGGAGUAUGUCCUCGAUGAGAAGCUCGAGAAAAUCAACCCUGAAAUCGCUACUCCGGCUGAAAUGACCGCUUUUGAAACUCAUGAGCGCGAUGCAACGAAGGUACAUUGCAUCAUGAUAGCCACCAUGAACUCCGAAUUCCAAAAGUCCUAUGAGGACAUGUACCCGUACGAGAUGCAUCAAGACUUAUUGGAGAGAUACCACCAAAACGCGAGACAAGAGCGUUAUGAGAUUUUCACUAACAUGAUUUCCGCUAAGAUGGGUCAUGGAGAGUCUCUUACCGUGCACCUGCAAAAGAUGCAAAGGUAUGUCGACCGCCUUCGCAAGUUAAAUGUUGACUUUGGGGAAGACUUGGCGAUCGACAUGGUGCUUCACUCUUUGCCUCCGAUGUACAAUCAAUUUAGGAUGACCUACCACAUGAACAAAGAGGAGGUCACCCUAAGCAAACUCCAAGGUCUCUUGAGGGUCGCUGAGAGCAACUUCAAGGACAAGUCUGUUGCACCAACUCCCAAUCCACCCGCUGCUCCUGUCUUGGCUAUUGGUCAAGGAAAGGGAAAGAAGAGGAAGGCUUCGUCUAAGAACUAUCGCAAGGUUAAAGCCCGAGAUGGUGCCUCUUCUAGUGGGACCAAAGUUGAUCCUGCUAAGCCCUGCCCUAACCCAAAGGAGGCAGAGUGCCACCACUGCCACAAGAUAGGACAUUGGAAGAGAAGCUGCCCAGAGUACCUGCAAGCCAUCAAGGAAGGAAAGAUCAAGCCAUCUUUCGCAGGUAUAUACACAAUUAAAUCUAACGAUUCUAAUCAUGCUAUUUCUUGGGUUCUUGAUACCGGUUGUGGUUACCACAUUUGUUCUAAUGUGCAGGGACUAAGAAGAAGUAGGGAUGUGGAGCAAGGAAGGAUCAAUCUAAUCAUGGGGAACAGAAGAUCGUCGCCUGUGACCAAGAUUGGAGUGUAUUCUUUAGUGCUUAGGAAUAAUUUAUGUUUAGAUUUGAACAAUUGUUGCUAUUCGCCAGAAAUGGCUAGAAACAUCAUUUCAUUUCAUGGUUUAUUUAGACAAGGUUUUAGAUUUUCUUUUAAUAAUGAGAAUGGUUCUAUUUUGGCUUAUCUAAAUGGUGUCUUUUACUUUGAAGCUAUACCAUGUAAUGGAAUUUAUGAAACUGUUAUGAUUGUUGAUAACUUAGGAAAUGAUGUUUUGAACAUAGAUUCUUCCACUAGUAUGGAUAAAGCAUCCUUGUGGCAUUGUCGUCUUGGACAUGUCAACAAGAAACGCAUAGCCCAACUCCAAAAGGAUGGAGUGUUGGAGUCAUUCGACCUUAGGGAAGAUGACACAUGCGAGUCUUGUUUGCUUGGAAAGAUGACUAAGUCACCCUUCACGAGUACAUGUGAAAGGGGCGAGGGUCUAUUGGACCUAAUACAUACCGAUGUAUGUGGACCGUUUAGAUCAACCACGAAGGAUGGGAACCGCUUCUAUGUGACUUUUACCGAUGACUAUAGUAGAUAUGGGUAUAUCUACUUAAUCAAGCAAAAGUCAGACACCUUUGAAAAGUUCAAAGAGUUCAAGAAUGAAGUGGAGAAUCAAUUGGGCAGGAAAAUCAAGAUGCUUCGAUCCGAUCGAGGAGGAGAGUACCUAAGUCUUGAAUUCCACGAUUAUCUCAAGGAGUGUGGAAUAGUUUCACAAUUGACGCCUCCUAGGACACCGCAGUUGAAUGGUGUGGCAGAAAGGCGUAAUCGAACCUUAUUGGAUAUGGUUCGCUCUAUGAUGAGUCGUGCUUCACUACCUAUCUCUUUUUGGGGGUAUGCCUUAGAGACUGCCGCCCAUAUCCUUAACCGAGUCCCUACUAAGAAGGUUGCCAAAACACCUCACGAGAUGUGGACAGGGAAAGCUCCCUCGUUGGCACAUAUCAAGGUUUGGGGUUGCGAGGCUUUCGUAAGACGAGAUACUCACGACAAGCUUGAACCUCGAAGUGAGCGAUGUAUUUUCAUCGGCUACCCGCAGACAUCCUUUGGAUAUCUCUUCUAUAGACCGAAGGACAAUGUUGUCUUCGUUGCGAGGAGAGGAGUUUUCCGAGAGCGAGAACUCAUAAGCCAAGGAGACAGUGGGAGGCAAAUCGAACUUGAAGAGAUUCAAGAGUCGAUAGAUGAAGGAACCUCUACCGCUGGCACUCAACCCGAGGAGGAAACUCCGGUUGAACCGAUUGACGAAUCCUUACCUCUUAGACGUUCCGAUAGAGUUAGAGUUCUUCCCCAGUUUUAUGGUUUUCAUAUUACUACCGAAGGGGACACGUAUAUUAGUGAUGGUACACUAGUAAAUCUUGAUGAACCUAAUAGCUAUAAGGAAGCCAUGGCAGGCCCGGAGUCUGCAAAAUGGAAAGAGGCAAUGGAUAGCGAGAUCCAAUCCAUGUAUGAUAACCAAGUUUGGAAUUUGGUUGAUUAUGUGCCCGGACGUAAGACCGUUGGGUGCAAAUGGAUCUUCAAGAAGAAGACCGACGUGGAUGGAAACGUACACACAUAUAAAGCGCGAUUGGUUGCGAAGGGCUUUACUCAAACUCCCGGAGUUGACUAUGAUGAGACCUUCUCACCAGUUGCGAAGAUUAAAUCUAUUAGAGUGAUGCUAGCAAUUGCCGCAUUUCAUGAUUAUGAGAUUUGGCAAAUGGAUGUCAAGACCGCUUUCCUUAACGGAAAGUUGGCUGAGGAUGUUUACAUGGCUCAGCCAGAGGGGUUUGUGGAUCCGAAGCAUCCGGAUAGAGUGUGUAAGCUUGAGAAGUCCAUUUAUGGACUUAAGCAAGCGUCUCGCAGAUGGAAUCUUUGCUUCGAUGAGAAAGUCAAAGAGUUUGGAUUUGUACGAAGCGAAGACGAAUCUUGUGUAUAUGUCAAAGCCAGUGGGAGUAUAGUAAGCUUCCUCGUUCUAUAUGUCGAUGACAUAUUACUCAUAGGAAACGACAUCCCGACUCUGCAGGAGGUUAAGUCCUGGCUCGGGAAGUGCUUCGCUAUGAAGGACCUCGGAGAGGCUUCUUACAUUUUGGGAAUAAGGAUAGUAAGAGAAAGAAGUAAGAGACUAAUUGGACUUAGUCAGAAUACUUACUUAGAGAAGGUACUAAAACGUUUUAGUAUGGAAAACUCAAAGAAGGGAGAACUACCGAUACAAAGUAAUGCCAAAUUGAGUAAGACUCAAAGUCCGAGUACCGAAGCUGAGAUAGCAGAAAUGAGCCGAGUACCAUACGCUUCCGCAGUUGGCUCAAUCAUGUACGCUAUGACUUGUACUCGCCCUGAUGUAGCCUUCGCUUUGAGCAUGGUUAGCAGAUAUCAAGGGAAUCCUGGCAAAGCACAUUGGAUUGCGGUGAAGAAUAUCCUUAAGUACCUUCGGAGGACGAAGGAAUGGUUCUUAGUCCUCGGAGGGAGUGAUGACUUGAAGGUGCGAGGGUAUAGUGACGCCAGUUUUCAGACCGACAGGGACAACUACCGUUCGCAGUCGGGCUGGGUCUUUACCCUAAAUGGAGGAGCAGUGACAUGGAAGAGUUCCAAGCAGGAAACCGUAGCUGAUUCAACGUGCGAAUCAGAGUACAUUGCAGCGAGCGAAGCGUCGAAGGAGGCAAUAUGGCUAAAGAACUUCAUCGGUGAUCUUGGAGUUGUACCUGCCAUAAAGGAGCCAAUGGAGAUUUUCUGUGAUAACGAAGGCGCGGUUGCCUUGACCAAGGAACCGAGGGAUCAUGGUAGAUCAAGACAUAUCGACAGAAAGUAUCACUUCAUUAGACAUCGUGUAGAAGAAGGACAACUCGUAGUGAAGAGGAUAUCAUCAGAAGAUAACCCAGCAGAUCCGCUUACGAAGGGACUGAGUAGGGUUAAGCACUUGCAGCAUGCUAGGAGUAUUGGGCUGAAGGAUGAUAUUAGCAUAGAUUAGAUAGUAUUAGAAACGUGUAAUAGAUAAAUGUAAUUAACAUUUGAUGAUUAAAUAAAGGAGUUUUAUUUAUGAGUAAUGUUACUAUCUUAUGUUAAUUGUUUAGCUAUUGUUUCACUUUGCAUGUUUUGACUUCCAGAAUAAUUGAGUUUAUUAGGAAUAAUCGAAUUGUUCAAAUGGUCCACAAUCGUUCAUAUGUUGGGAGUAGAUAUGAAUGAAGAUUGUCAUGAAUUGGUGUGUAGAAUGUCUAAAUGGUGUUAGACAUAGCAAAGGAUUGCUGCAACGUUCAUGAGUGCUUAUGAACUAGUUUUGAGCAUUGGAAUAAACCCGCGCUUGCUGGAAUCACCUUAUGGAAUACGAUAUAAAAGGUGAUCGCAAGACGAUAAUAUCAUAUAGUCUUAAAACCUAGAUAUAUGGUUUAUUAUUUGUUAAUUGAUUGUACAUUGAUAAUACGAAAACGCAUCAGUAACUUGGUGUUAUAAAACGUAUUGUUGUGUAUAGUUGGUAAAUGAAUAAGUAAAUGCAUAUAAGUCGAAGUUUAUCUGUAACUUUUAUCUAAGAAGGUAAAAGCGAUAUCUCGGCCGCUCGAUGAUUUGAUUUGACUUAUGUGCCGGGCCCGGUCAGAACUGAAUUGAUGUGUUCGAUUAAGUUCUAUGUCAAAUAAAUCAGAGAUCGAGAAACCUAAAUGCUUGACUAAUCAUUCCAUAGAAUUGUCAGCAUGAUAUCUAACAGAGGACUGUACGAUCCCUUAUCUAAAGGACAAGACUGAUUAGAUCAGAGUUUGACAGCGUCUUUGAGAGCUACGAUUGCGAAUUGGAUUGUAAUUGUGCAUAUAAUUGAUAGACUUAUCCAAGUGGGAGACUGUUGGAAUAGUGUCUAAGGCUGCAACUAUAUUAGGCAAGUAUUUGACCCGAUUGUGCAUGGUCCUUUUGGGUUGCCUUCACCAUAGCAACUUGAUAGGAUGAUUUAUUAUGAGAGAGUAAAUAUUAUUAAUAUAUUAUGAGAAUAAUAUAAGGAAUAAUAAUAUUGUUAUUUGAUUAAUAUAAGUCAUAAAUUAAUUAGUAUUAAUUUGGUGACUUAAAGAGAUUAAUUAAAUAAGAGGGUAUAAACUGUCAAUUGUUUGAUAGUUACACUUUAGACUGUAAAUCCUUAUUGGAUGAAGGGUGGAUGGAUUCUUGGGCUAGGGAUAGCCUCAAAUCGUCCAAUGCUUAUCUAAGGUAAGGAUUUGGAUUGCUUUAAGG
This 7528-nucleotide long non-coding RNA is filed under the name Lactuca sativa (garden lettuce). RNAcentral describes it as "long non-coding RNA (LSAT_LNC009773)". Lineage: Eukaryota; Viridiplantae; Streptophyta; Magnoliopsida; Asterales; Asteraceae. The record is from RNAcentral.